RNAcentral lists this ribosomal RNA (319 nucleotides) under uncultured Bacteroidota bacterium. RNAcentral's name for it is "bacterial SSU rRNA". It matches the Rfam family "Bacterial small subunit ribosomal RNA", at positions 28 to 351 of the family's 1533-position model. The record is from RNAcentral. Lineage: Bacteria; Pseudomonadati; Bacteroidota.
GAUGAACGCUAGCGGCAGGCUUAACACAUGCAAGUCGAGGGGUAUAGGUUUUCGGACCUAGAGACCGGCGCACGGGUGCGUAACGUGUAUGCAAUCUACCUUUUACAGAGGGAUAGCCCAGAGAAAUUUGGAUUAAUACCUCAUAGUAUUAUUGAAUGGCAUCAUUUAAUAAUUAAAGUCACAACGGUAAAGAUGAGCAUGCGUCCCAUUAGCUAGUUGGUAAGGUAACGGCUUACCAAGGCAACGAUGGGUAGGGGUCCUGAGAGGGAGAUCCCCCACACUGGUACUGAGACACGGACCAGACUCCUACGGGUGGCUG